Molecule: ribosomal RNA, 1210 nt
Filed under: metagenome
Description: SSU rRNA
Rfam family: Eukaryotic small subunit ribosomal RNA
Source: RNAcentral
AGUCUGGUGCCAGCAGCCGCGGUAAUUCCAGCUCCAAUAGCGUAUAUUAAAGUUGUUGUGGUUAAAAAGCUCGUAGUUGGAUUUCGGCGGGUAGUGGUCGGUUUGAAUUGCUUCAACACUGGCUUUUUUUACCCGUGUGUUUUGCCAGAAUUUAACGGGUGAUCUUCGCCGAUUGUCCGUUAGAACUGGCAGGUUUACUUAGAAAAAAUUAGAGUGCUCAAAGCAAGCUUGAUUGCUUGAAUAUUCGUGCAUGGAAUAAUAGAAUAGGAAGUCGUUUCUAUUUUGUUGGUUUUCGGAAAUCGACUUAAUGAUUAAUAGGGAUAGUCGGGGGCAUUUGUAUUCAAACGACAGAGGUGAAAUUCUUGGACCGUUUGAAGACAAACUACUGCGAAAGCAUUUGCCAAGAAUGUUUUCAUUAAUCAAGAACGAAAGUUAGAGGUUCGAAGGCGAUUAGAUACCGCCCUAGUUCUAACCAUAAACGAUGCCAGCUAGCGAUCUGCCGGUGCUUGAUUUUCUGGCCCGGCAGGCAGCUUCCGGGAAACCAAAGCUUGUGGGUUCCAGGGGAAGUAUGGUUGCAAAGCUGAAACUUAAAGGAAUUGACGGAAGGGCACCACCAGGAGUGGAGCCUGUGGCUUAAUUUGACCCAACACGGGAAAUCUCACCAGGCCCGGACACCAGAAGGAUUGACAGAUUGAUAGCUCUUUCUUGAUUUGGUGGGUGGUGGUGCAUGGCCGUUCUUAGUUGGUGGAGUGAUUUGUCUGGUUAAUUCCGAUAACGAACGAGACUCUGUCCUGUUAAAUAGAUCCAACCUAGUUGUAGGGUUGGAAUGUCUUCUUAGAGGGACUGGUGAUUAUUAGUCACACGAGAUUGAGCAAUAACAGGUCUGUGAUGCCCUUAGAUGUUCUGGGCCGCACACGCGCUACACUGAAGUGAUCAGCUAGUUUUUCCCUCUCCGAGAGGAGCGGGUAAACUGUUGAACCCACUUCGUGGUAGGGAUCGGAGCUUGCAAUUAUUCUCCGUGAACCAGGAAUUCCCAGUAGGCGCAAGUCAUAAGCUUGCAUCGAUUACGUCCCUGCCCUUUGUACACACCGCCCGUCGCUACUACCGAUUGAGUGUUUUAGUGAGGACCUCGGAUUGCUUGCCUGGCGGUUAACGCUGCCUAGCUGGCGAAAAGACGUCCAAACUGUAGCACUUAGAGGAAGUAAAAGUC